RNAcentral lists this transfer RNA (89 nucleotides) under Mycobacterium avium. Its description in RNAcentral is "tRNA-Leu". It matches the Rfam family "tRNA". From Rfam's summary of the family: Transfer RNA (tRNA) molecules are approximately 80 nucleotides in length. Their secondary structure includes four short double-helical elements and three loops (D, anti-codon, and T loops). Further hydrogen bonds mediate the characteristic L-shaped molecular structure. tRNAs have two regions of fundamental functional importance: the anti-codon, which is responsible for specific mRNA codon recognition, and the 3' end, to which the tRNAs corresponding amino acid is attached (by aminoacyl-tRNA synthetases). tRNAs cope with the degeneracy of the genetic code in two manners: having more than one tRNA (with a specific anti-codon) for a particular amino acid; and 'wobble' base-pairing, i.e. permitting non-standard base-pairing at the 3rd anti-codon position. Lineage: Bacteria; Bacillati; Actinomycetota; Actinomycetes; Mycobacteriales; Mycobacteriaceae. The record is from RNAcentral. RNAcentral also lists the same sequence under 1 other name.
GCGUCCGUGGCGGAAUUGGAAGACGCGCCGGAUUCAGGCUCCGGUAUCCGUGAAUGGAUGUGCAGGUUCGACCCCUGCCGGACGCACCA